This 615-nucleotide ribosomal RNA is filed under the name Escherichia coli. RNAcentral's name for it is "bacterial SSU rRNA". It matches the Rfam family "Bacterial small subunit ribosomal RNA", at positions 911 to 1526 of the family's 1533-position model. RNAcentral also lists the same sequence under 1 other name. The record is from RNAcentral. Lineage: Bacteria; Pseudomonadati; Pseudomonadota; Gammaproteobacteria; Enterobacterales; Enterobacteriaceae.
UGACGGGGGCCCGCACAAGCGGUGGAGCAUGUGGUUUAAUUCGAUGCAACGCGAAGAACCUUACCUGGUCUUGACAUCCACGGAAGUUUUCAGAGAUGAGAAUGUGCCUUCGGGAACCGUGAGACAGGUGCUGCAUGGCUGUCGUCAGCUCGUGUUGUGAAAUGUUGGGUUAAGUCCCGCAACGAGCGCAACCCUUAUCCUUUGUUGCCAGCGGUCCGGCCGGGAACUCAAAGGAGACUGCCAGUGAUAAACUGGAGGAAGGUGGGGAUGACGUCAAGUCAUCAUGGCCCUUACGACCAGGGCUACACACGUGCUACAAUGGCGCAUACAAAGAGAAGCGACCUCGCGAGAGCAAGCGGACCUCAUAAAGUGCGUCGUAGUCCGGAUUGGAGUCUGCAACUCGACUCCAUGAAGUCGGAAUCGCUAGUAAUCGUGGAUCAGAAUGCCACGGUGAAUACGUUCCCGGGCCUUGUACACACCGCCCGUCACACCAUGGGAGUGGGUUGCAAAAGAAGUAGGUAGCUUAACCUUCGGGAGGGCGCUUACCACUUUGUGAUUCAUGACUGGGGUGAAGUCGUAACAAGGUAACCGUAGGGGAACCUGCGGUUGGAUCAC